Molecule: ribosomal RNA, 460 nt
Filed under: uncultured bacterium
Lineage: Bacteria
Description: partial 16S ribosomal RNA
Rfam family: Bacterial small subunit ribosomal RNA
Source: RNAcentral
CCUACGGGUGGCAGCAGUGAGGAAUAUUGGUCAAUGGACGAGAGUCUGAACCAGCCAAGUAGCGUGAAGGAUGACUGCCCUAUGGGUUGUAAACUUCUUUUAUAUGGGAAUAAAAUGUUCCACGUGUGGGUUUUUGUAUGUACCCUAUGAAUAAGGAUUGGCUAACUCCGUGCCAGCAGCCGCGGUAAUACGGAGGAUCCGAGCGUUAUCCGGAUUUAUUGGGUUUAAAGGGAGCGUAGGUGGGUUGUUAAGUCAGUUGUGAAAGUUUGCGGCUCAACCGUAGAAUUGCAGUUGAAACUGGCAGUCUUGAGUACAGUAGAGGUGGGCGGAAUUCGUGGUGUAGCGGUGAAAUGCUUAGAUAUCACGAAGAACUCCGAUUGCGAAGGCAGCUCACUGGACUGCAACUGACACUGAGGCUCGAAAGUGUGGGUAUCAAACAGGAUUAGAUACCCCUGUAGUC